AGUGAACGCUGGCGGCAGGCCUAACACAUGCAAGUCGAGCGGCAGCGCGGGGGCAACCCUGGCGGCGAGCGGCGGACGGGUGAGGAAUUCGUCGGAAUCUGCCUUUUUGUGGGGGAUAACGUAGGGAAACUUACGCUAAUACCGCAUACGUCCUACGGGAGAAAGUGGGGGACCGCAAGGCCUUACGCAGAAAGAUGAGCCGACGACCGAUUAGCUAGUUGGUGGGGUAAAGGCCCACCAAGGCGACGAUCGGUAGCUGGUCUGAGAGGAUGAUCAGCCACACUGGGACUGAGACACGGCCCAGACUCCUACGGGAGGCAGCAGUGGGGAAUAUUGGACAAUGGGCGCAAGCCUGAUCCAGCCAUGCCGCGUGUGUGAAGAAGGCCUUCGGGUUGUAAAGCACUUUUGUCCGGAAAGAAAUCCCUGGAGCUAAUACCUUCGGGGGAUGACGGUACCGGAAGAAUAAGCACCGGCUAACUUCGUG
Molecule: ribosomal RNA, 484 nt
Filed under: uncultured bacterium
Lineage: Bacteria
Description: partial 16S ribosomal RNA
Rfam family: Bacterial small subunit ribosomal RNA
Source: RNAcentral